GGAAUUUAAUUGGCGGCUAUCAGAGAGUUAGAUUGGGGUUGAAGGCACACAGUUGGAAACAUCCGACAUCGUCCAACCGGA
Pogonomyrmex barbatus (red harvester ant) is the source of this 81-nucleotide long non-coding RNA. NCBI's taxonomy places the organism in Eukaryota, Metazoa, Arthropoda, Insecta, Hymenoptera, Formicidae. The record is from RefSeq and is a predicted model, not a curated record.